GACGAACGCUGGCGGCGUGCUUAACACAUGCAAGUCGAACGGUAACGGGCCUUCGGGUGCCGACGAGUGGCGAACGGGUGAGUAAUGCAUCGGAACGUACCUUUCAGUGGGGGGAUAACGUAGCGAAAGUUACGCUAAUACCGCAUAUUCUGUGAGCAGGAAAGCAGGGGAUCGCAAGACCUUGCGCUGAUUGAGCGGCCGAUGUCAGAUUAGCUAGUUGGUGAGGUAAAGGCUCACCAAGGCGACGAUCUGUAGCGGGUCUGAGGGGAUGAUCCGCCACACUGGAACUGAGACACGGUCCAGACUCCUACGGGAGGCAGCAGUGGGGAAUUUUGGACAAUGGGGGGCAACCCUGAUCCAGCCAUGCCGCGUGAGUGAAGAAGGCCUUCGGGUUGUAAACCUCUUUCUGGGUAGAAGAGACAAGGACGGUAUCCCAGGAAUAAGUCUCGGCUAACUACGUGCCAGCAGCCGCGGUAAU
RNAcentral lists this ribosomal RNA (478 nucleotides) under uncultured bacterium. RNAcentral's name for it is "bacterial SSU rRNA". It matches the Rfam family "Bacterial small subunit ribosomal RNA", at positions 28 to 524 of the family's 1533-position model. The record is from RNAcentral.